AAAUUUGAAAUCUGGUAGCCUUCGGUUGCCCGAGUUGUAAUCUAGAGAAGUGUUUUCCGUGCCGGCCCAUGUACAAGUCCCUUGGAACAGGGCGUCAUAGAGGGUGAGAAUCCCGUCCUUGACAUGGACCCCCGGUGCUUUGUGAUACACUUUCAACGAGUCGAGUUGUUUGGGAAUGCAGCUCAAAAUGGGUGGUGAAUUCCAUCUAAAGCUAAAUAUUGGCGAGAGACCGAUAGCGAACAAGUACCGUGAGGGAAAGAUGAAAAGCACUUUGGAAAGAGAGUUAAACAGUACGUGAAAUUGUUGAAAGGGAAACGAUUGAAGUCAGUCAUGCUCUUAGGAUUCAGCCGUUCUGCGGUGUAUUUCCUUUGAGUGGGGUCAACAUCAGUUUUGAUCGAUGGAUAAAGGCACGAGGAAGGUAGCACUCUCGGGUGAACUUAUAGCCUCGCGUCAUAUACAUUGAUUGGGACUGAGGAACGCAGCAUGCCUUUAUGGCCGGGAUUCGUCCACGUACAUGCUUAGGAUGUUGACAUAAUGGCUUUAAACGACCCGUCUUGAAACACGG
Molecule: ribosomal RNA, 565 nt
Filed under: Naganishia adeliensis
Lineage: Eukaryota; Fungi; Basidiomycota; Tremellomycetes; Filobasidiales; Filobasidiaceae
Description: LSU rRNA
Rfam family: Eukaryotic large subunit ribosomal RNA
Source: RNAcentral